This 917-nucleotide ribosomal RNA is filed under the name uncultured marine bacterium. Its description in RNAcentral is "bacterial SSU rRNA". It matches the Rfam family "Bacterial small subunit ribosomal RNA", at positions 56 to 1019 of the family's 1533-position model. The record is from RNAcentral.
UGCAAGUCGAACGAAGUAGCAAUACUUAGUGGCAGACGGGUGAGUAACAUGUAGGUAUCUACCCUUUGGUGAGGAAUAACACGAGGAAACUUGUGCUAAUACCUCAUAAGUCUUUACGGAGAAAGCUUUAUGCGCCGAAGGAUGAGCCUGCACUUGAUUAGUUUGUUGGUGGGGUAAAGGCCUACCAAGACUUUGAUCUAUAGCUGAUCUGAGAGGAUGAUCAGCCACAUUGGGACUGAGACACGGCCCAAACUCCUACGGGAGGCAGCAGUAGGGAAUAUUGCACAAUGGAGGAAACUCUGAUGCAGCGAUGCCGCGUGAGUGAAGAAGGCCUUUGGGUUGUAAAGCUCUUUCGUCGGGGAAGAAAAUGACUGUACCCGAAUAAGAAGGUCCGGCUAACUUCGUGCCAGCAGCCGCGGUAAUACGAAGGGACCUAGCGUAGUUCGGAAUUACUGGGCUUAAAGAGUUCGUAGGUGGUUAAAAAAGUUGGUGGUGAAAUCCCAGAGCUUAACUCUGGAACUGCCAUCAAAACUUUUUAGCUAGAGUAUGAUAGAGGAAAGCAGAAUUUCUAGUGUAGAGGUGAAAUUCGUAGAUAUUAGAAAGAAUACCAAUUGCGAAGGCAGCUUUCUGGAUCAUUACUGACGCUGAGGAACGAAAGCAUGGGUAGCGAAGAGGAUUAGAUACCCUCGUAGUCCAUGCCGUAAACGAUGUGUGUUAGACGUUGGAAAUUUAUUUACAGUGUCGCAGCGAAAGCGUUAAACACACCGCCUGGGGAGUACGACCGCAAGGUUAAAACUCAAAUGAAUUGACGGGGACCCGCACAAGUAGUGGAGCAUGUGGUUUAAUUCGAAGAUACGCGCAGAACCUUACCAACACUUGACAUGUUCGUCGCGACUCUAAGAGAUUAGAGUUUUCGG